Molecule: ribosomal RNA, 247 nt
Filed under: uncultured bacterium
Lineage: Bacteria
Description: partial 16S ribosomal RNA
Rfam family: Bacterial small subunit ribosomal RNA
Source: RNAcentral
AUACGGAGGAUCCAAGCGUUAUCCGGAUUUAUUGGGUUUAAAGGGUGCGUAGGCGGACUUAUAAGUCAGCGGUGAAAGUUUGCAGCUUAACUGUAAAAUUGCCGUUGAAACUGUUAGUCUUGAGUGUAAAUGAGGUAGGCGGAAUGUGUUGUGUAGCGGUGAAAUGCUUAGAUAUAACACAGAACACCAAUUGCGAGGGCAGCUUACUGGGAUACAACUGACGCUGAGGUGCGAAAGCGUGGGGAGC